GCGACGAUGCGUAGGGGUUCUGAGAGGAAGGCCCCCCACACUGGAACUGAGACACGGUCCAGACUCCUACGGGAGGCAGCAGUGAGGAAUAUUGGUCAAUGGGCGGAAGCCUGAACCAGCCAAGUCGCGUGAGGGAAUAAGGCCCUACGGGUCGUAAACCUCUUUUGCCGGGGAGCAAGGGCCGGGACGAGUCCCGGCCCGGAGAGUACCCGGAGAAAAAGCAUCGGCUAACUCCGUGCCAGCAGCCGCGGUAAUACGGAGGAUGCGAGCGUUAUCCGGAUUUAUUGGGUUUAAAGGGUGCGUAGGCGGGCUUUUAAGUCAGCGGUAAAAAUUCGGGGCUCAACCCCGUCCGGCCGUUGAAACUGGGGGUCUUGAGUGGGCGAGAAGAAGGCGGAAUGCGUGGUGUAGCGGUGAAAUGCAUAGAUAUCACGCAGAACCCCGAUUGCGAAGGCAGCCUUCCGGCGCCCUACUGACGCUGAGGCACGAAAGUGCGGGGAUCGAACAGGAUUAGAUACCCUGGUAGUCCGCACAGUAAACGAUGGAUGCCAGCUGUCCGGGCCGAAUGGGGCCUGG
Molecule: ribosomal RNA, 573 nt
Filed under: uncultured bacterium
Lineage: Bacteria
Description: bacterial SSU rRNA
Rfam family: Bacterial small subunit ribosomal RNA
Source: RNAcentral